UAAGGUGGAGAGUGGCGCACGGGUGAGUAACACAUGGCUGACCUGCCCCUCAGAGGGGGACAGCCAGUGGAAACGCCGGCUAAUACCCCAUGCUUGCGUCCGGGUUAGAGGCCGGAUGCAGAAAGGCCGAGGCGCUGAGGGAGGGGGCUGUGGUCCAUCAGCUAGUUGGUAGGGUAACGGCCUACCAAUGCGAGGACGGAUAGGGGGCCUGAGAGGGUGACCCCCCACACGGGCACUGAGACACGGGCCCGACUCCUACGGGAGGCAGCAGUAAGGGAUAUUGCGACAAUGGGCGAAAGCCUGACGCAUCAACGCCGCGUGGAGGAUGAAGGCCUUCGGGUUGUAAACUCCUUUUCUGUGGGAAGAGGAAGGACGGUACCACAGGAAGAAGUCUCGGCUAACUACGUGCCAGCAGCCGCGGUAAAACGUAGGAGGCGAGCGUUAUCCGGAUUUACUGGGUGUAAAGCGCGUGCAGGCGGCUUGGUAAGUCGAGCGUGAAAGCUCCCGGCUCAACCGGGAGAGGACGUGCGAAACUGCGAGGCUAGAGACAGGUAGAGGCGUACGGAAUUCCGGGUGUAGUGGUGAAAUGCGUAGAUAUCCGGAGGAACACCAGUGGCGAAGGCGGGUACGCUGGGCCUGGUCUGACGCUAAGACGCGAAAGCAUGGGGAGCGAACGGGAUUAGAAACCCCGGUAGUCCAUGCCGUAAACGAUGCUAACUAGGUGUUGCGGGUAAAAGACCGGCAGUGCCGGAGUUAACGCGAUAAGUUAGCCACCUGGGGACUACGGUCGCAAGGCUAAAACUCAAAGGAAUUGACGGGGGCCCGCACAAGCAGCGGAGCGUGUGGUUUAAUUCGAGGCUACACGAAGAACCUUACCUGGGCUUGACAUGACGGUGGUAGGGAACCGAAAGGGGACCGACCUUCGGGAGCCGCCACAGGUGCUGCAUGGCUGUCGUCAGCUCGUGUCGUGAGAUGUUCGGUUAAGUCCGGUAACGAGCGCAACCCUCAUCGCUAGUUACAAGUGUCUAGCGAGACUGCCCGUUCAACGCGGGAGGAAGGCGGGGAUGACGUCAAGUCAGCAUGGCCUUUAUGUCCAGGGCUACACACACGCUACAAUGGCCGGUACAAUGGGUCGCCAACCCGCGAGGGGGAGCCAAUCCACCAAAGCCGGUCACAGUUCGAAUUGCAGGCUGCAACCCGCCUGCAUGAAGUCGGAGUUGCUAGUAACCGCAGGUCAG
This 1238-nucleotide ribosomal RNA is filed under the name uncultured organism. RNAcentral's name for it is "bacterial SSU rRNA". It matches the Rfam family "Bacterial small subunit ribosomal RNA", at positions 84 to 1352 of the family's 1533-position model. The record is from RNAcentral.